Long non-coding RNA from Thalassophryne amazonica, 140 nucleotides. RefSeq lists it as uncharacterized. The record is from RefSeq and is a predicted model, not a curated record. The transcript has 3 exons. NCBI's taxonomy places the organism in Eukaryota, Metazoa, Chordata, Actinopteri, Batrachoidiformes, Batrachoididae.
CUGCUGUUCAGACACCUGGGGCCUCAUGUAUAAAGCGUGCUUACGCACAAAAACGUGUCAUACAUCCGUCUCCAUGCUCACAUUCAGAUGUAUCAAAAGUGAUAUGACCAUGGAAAUGUGCGGUGCAUCACGCAUAAAUU